ACUCCCAAACCCCUGUGAACAUACCAAUUGUUGCCUCGGCGGAUCAGCCCGCUCCCGGUAAAACGGGACGGCCCGCCAGAGGACCCCUAAACUCUGUUUCUAUAUGUAACUUCUGAGUAAAACCAUAAAUAAAUCAAAACUUUCAACAACGGAUCUCUUGGUUCUGGCAUCGAUGAAGAACGCAGCAAAAUGCGAUAAGUAAUGUGAAUUGCAGAAUUCAGUGAAUCAUCGAAUCUUUGAACGCACAUUGCGCCCGCCAGUAUUCUGGCGGGCAUGCCUGUUCGAGCGUCAUUUCAACCCUCAAGCCCCCGGGUUUGGUGUUGGGGAUCGGCGAGCCCUCGCGGCAAGCCGGCCCCGAAAUCUAGUGGCGGUCUCGCUGUAGCUUCCAUUGCGUAGUAGUAAAACCCUCGCAACUGGUACGCGGCGCGGCCAAGCCGUUAAACCCCCAACUUCUGAAUGUUGACCUCGGAUCAGGUAGGAAUACCCGCUGAACUUAAGCUAAUCAAUAAGCGGAGGAA
This 518-nucleotide ribosomal RNA is filed under the name uncultured Fusarium. RNAcentral describes it as "eukaryotic LSU rRNA". The stretch from base 138 to 291 matches the Rfam family "5.8S ribosomal RNA". The record is from RNAcentral. Lineage: Eukaryota; Fungi; Ascomycota; Sordariomycetes; Hypocreales; Nectriaceae.